GACGGGGGGGGCAAGUGUUCUUCGGAAUGACUGGGCGUAAAGGGCACGUAGGCGGUGAAUCGGGUUGAACGUGAAAGUCGCCAAAAAGUGGCGGAAUGCUCUCGAAACCAAUUCACUUGAGUGAGACAGAGGAGAGUGGAAUUUCGUGUGUAGGGGUGAAAUGCGCAGAUAUCAGGAAGAACACCCGUGGCUAAGGCGGCUCUCUAGUACGGUACUGACGCUGAGACGCGAAAGCGUGGGGAGCGAACAGG
Molecule: ribosomal RNA, 251 nt
Filed under: uncultured bacterium
Lineage: Bacteria
Description: partial 16S ribosomal RNA
Rfam family: Bacterial small subunit ribosomal RNA
Source: RNAcentral